This 351-nucleotide ribosomal RNA is filed under the name Streptococcus thermophilus. Its description in RNAcentral is "bacterial SSU rRNA". It matches the Rfam family "Bacterial small subunit ribosomal RNA", at positions 1153 to 1506 of the family's 1533-position model. Lineage: Bacteria; Bacillati; Bacillota; Bacilli; Lactobacillales; Streptococcaceae. The record is from RNAcentral.
GCUUUUUAACUGGGGGGGGAGGGGGGAUGACGUCAAAUCAUCAUGCCCCUUAUGACCUGGGCUACACACGUGCUACAAUGGUUGGUACAACGAGUUGCGAGUCGGUGACGGCGAGCUAAUCUCUUAAAGCCAAUCUCAGUUCGGAUUGUAGGCUGCAACUCGCCUACAUGAAGUCGGAAUCGCUAGUAAUCGCGGAUCAGCACGCCGCGGUGAAUACGUUCCCGGGCCUUGUACACACCGCCCGUCACACCACGAGAGUUUGUAACACCCGAAGUCGGUGAGGUAACCUUUUGGAGCCAGCCGCCUAAGGUGGACAGAUGAUGGGGUCUGUCGUGGCUCGCCCCUCCCGGG